CAAAAAUUGAACAAAUUUGAAAUUUCUGCAAUGUUCACCUGACAUCAAGAAUCAUUUCCAGGCCCACUCAUCAAAACGUCAGAAUCAGAUUCAUGUAAACAAAUCAAUCCAUAAAAUUAUUGGAAUUUAGUCAACAAAAUCGAAUGGCGUCGGCAAAGCCACCAACACUCCCACUACUAUUUCUCGCCCGCCCAGGAGCCACCACUAGAUUUCCCAUAUCUCACGCGAACGUUAGAGGAAAAUGGCUCAAUUCCCACAUCGACAAGAAUGCUAAUCUUCGUUCUAGACUCUCCAUUCUCGCUCAUAAUCGCUCUUAUUCUCUGUGUUCUUCUCUUUCGGUUUGCCCUAGUUCUCUUAUUUCUUGUCCUUCUCUUUGCUCUCUGUUCCAAUCUCGUUUUCCUCAUCUCCGAUCUUCUUUGUCCUCCAUGACCAAUCCUCCACGAGCCAAUUCUGACCCACCUCAGUUUACUUCCUCCACAAAAACGGUGAGGGCCGUGAUCAAGGGGAGGGUGCAAGGAGUGUUCUAUAGGAACUGGACAGUCGAGAAUGCCACCCAGUUGGGGUUGAAAGGUUGGGUUAGGAACAGGAGGGAUGGUUCCGUGGAAGCACUCUUCUCUGGGGAUUCUGAUAAGGUGCAGGAGAUGGAGCAGAGAUGCCGUCGUGGUCCACCUGAUGCUAUAGUUACUGGCUUCCAGAUGUUUCCUUGCGAUGAUGACCCAGGAACUGGGUUCCAGCGCAAACCAACGGUUUGAUCCAUGCAUAUGAAUAUGCUUAAAAAGUGGAUUCCUAUUUUAGUAUGUACGCAUCUCUCCCUGCAUGAAUUUUAUUUCUAAACCGUUUUUGGGAAAUUAGGAGGAUAUACAUGUUAUUGCUGUAGCUCUGACUGUUGAAUCACUGAUCAACUUAUUUAAUGAUAUGAUAAAGAAUUAUUUUUUUUCAAUUCAAAAA
RNAcentral lists this unclassified non-coding RNA (948 nucleotides) under Hevea brasiliensis (rubber tree). The record is from RNAcentral. Lineage: Eukaryota; Viridiplantae; Streptophyta; Magnoliopsida; Malpighiales; Euphorbiaceae.